RNAcentral lists this long non-coding RNA (764 nucleotides) under Lynx pardinus (Iberian lynx). Lineage: Eukaryota; Metazoa; Chordata; Mammalia; Carnivora; Felidae. The record is from RNAcentral.
CUGAAAGUUCGCUCUGGGACCUGUCCCUCACCCGGGCUAGCCAAAGGUAAGGGGAAGCAUGCUCCAUGAAAAAAGCCAACAGGGAAAGAAGCUGAGGCCUCAGUGGGCGAAGGAUACAAAUGCUGGUCUGUUCGCGGUACUUUACAUUAUCUCACUUAAUCUCCAGCAAUGCUGUGAAUGAGGUGUCAUUAUUUACAAUACUCCGGAUGAGGAAAUUCAAGUCUUUGAAAGACUGCCCCACUCUCUUUGGGUAUGUCUGCACUGGAAUCGUCCUGCAAAAAUCCUAACAGAUGUGCAUCUGAUGCUAAUAUUUUGUUUAAUUCUGUAUGUCUGCUCCCAACCCGUGUAUAUGCGGGAACUGGGAAUUUCAUUCUUCCCAUAAAGCAACAGAUAUUGGGAAUAAGUAUGUUUCGGUGGCAUCCAAAAAUGUCAACCUUACCACGGUUUUCAUGCUUCAAUCUGUCCCUCAGGGUGCCUGCACAGGAUGAAAUGAACUCUUCGAUGCGAAAGAGAAUAUGGGUCUCCUCCGCUGUUGAAUUUUCAUGGAACACCCCUUGUCCUUAAAUUGGGGAGGGCAGAGCAACAGAGAAAGGUAUUCACCGAAAGGUCCGAUGGAGGCCCAUGUUACCUGUGCUUCCUAACCCACUUCUUUUAGGACAGACAACGUCUAGAACACUGCUGGACUGGAAAUAAGAAUACGCUGCAUUGGGGCACCUGAGUGGCUCAGUCAGUUGGGUGUCUGACUUCGGCUCAGGACAUGAUCU